RNA transcript from Medicago truncatula (barrel medic), 1623 nucleotides. RefSeq lists it as uncharacterized. Lineage: Eukaryota; Viridiplantae; Streptophyta; Magnoliopsida; Fabales; Fabaceae. The record is from RefSeq and is a predicted model, not a curated record. The transcript has 3 exons.
UCAUUUGGUGUCUCCACGACACUAACUCCAAUGGAAUCAAGAACCCCAAUCAUGAUCAACAAAUACCAAAUUUGGCUAACAAAACUUAACUACCAUACGGUAGUAGCAAAAAAGAAUGAAAAAUGCUUUUACCAUUACUCAUCAUCACUCACCUCCGCAACCAGUAUCGCAUUUCAUUUCAUUUCUCAGAAUUCAAGCAUGCUUCGUCUGACAAAGCUAAAACCACCGUCAUCUUCACCGCACCAACUCCUCCAACGCUGCUCCGUCAGCCGCACCGCCAAAGGAAAAGGAAAAGCCGGUCAAAUCCUAAAACGUUCCAAAAUCACAGUAAAAAAAUCCGGACCCGAACCCACACCUGGAGCCCCAACUGGUUCCCGCGAGAAACAAGAACGCGAACGCCUCUACGAUCAAUGCCUCAACGCACCAACACCACUUCGUUUUCUCAAACCCAAACAACGUGCACGCGAAGCUGAACGAGAAAAAUUAGGGUUAAUUAGCAAAGAUCGUCAAAUUGAACUUGAUAUGAUGAAGAAGAAAAACGCCAAAUUUAGGGUUUUUGAGAAACCAACGAUAAUGGGAACCCCUGGGUUGGAUUAUAUAACAUUAGGGUUAGUGGAUGCUGAGAAAUUGCCAAAGUAUGAAUUGACGAAGGAAGAUGGGAUGAAAUUGGCCAAGGAGUAUAGUAGGGUUUUGAUGAGGAAGCAUAGGGCGAGACAAGCGGCAGAGACAAAUCUUUUGAGGAUGAAAAAGAAGGCUAUUGAAGCUUUGCCUGGGGGUUUGAAGGAAACUGCUUUGGUGCCGGAUUUGACGCCGUUUCCGAUGAAUAUGUUUAUGGCAACGCUUACGCCGCCUAUUGAUGGGUAUAUUGAGGAGAUUAAGGAGGCUGCUGAUAGGAUCAGUGGGAAGGAGAAGAUUAGGUAGAUUGGUAGUGUUGAUUUUCAGGGUCCGUCACAGUCAAAUUGAUUCUGGUCAGGACUAGCCUUUGUGGAGUUCUGAAGGUACUCCUUCAUUUUCUUACAAGUUACUUCUUUGUGUUCUAAGGAUGAGCAAUCAUAGUACAUUGAUAAAUUAUUGAUGAAUACCUGUCCUUAGUCCUUAAACGGUCAAAGAUUUCUCAUAUUUCUUAUGGUUUAGUGUUGGGUGCAACGGUUGUAUUGGCAGAAGGAUCGUCCUCUGUAUCCUCCUCUUCUGAAUCACUCUCAUCAUAGCAAAACUCAAUUACAGCCGUGAGCCUUACCAAUCAUCAUGCAGAGCAGUUGUAACUAAUAAUUAUUUUUUGAUUGGAUUAUAAGCUGAUUUCUUAGGCCAUACAAGGCUUGUCUAGAUUUACUUAUUUUUGAGCUUAUGAAAAAUAACUUAAUGUAAAUAAAUAAGCUUUUAUGUUAAUUCAUAAGUUCUCACAAACAAAAUUUGUAUCUUCUUAAGCUGUUUUUUCAUAAAUUACUUUGACACACCUACGAAUAAUACACAAAAGCUUAUUUCUUUGCAUAAAUUAAAAAAUAAGUCAAUCCAAACAGGCUCGUAGUGUGUUUUGAAAGCGAGUGCAGCUGGAUUUGUAGGGUUAAUAAGGGAUCAUAAUGGCAACUUCAUUAAGGGUUAUUAUUAUAGAAUUGGUUACUCUAA